ACUGAACGCUGGCGGCAUGCCUUACACAUGCAAGUCGAACGGCAGCACGGGUGCUUGCACCUGGUGGCGAGUGGCGAACGGGUGAAUAAUACAUCGGAACGUACCUUAUCGUGGGGGAUAACGCAGCGAAAGCUGUGCUAAUACCGCAUACGCCCUGAGGGGGAAAGCGGGGGAUCGCAAGACCUCGCGCGAUUAGAGCGGCCGAUGCCUGAUUAGCUUGUUGGUGGGGUAAAAGCCCACCAAGGCGACGAUCAGUAGCUGGUCUGAGAGGACGAUCAGCCACACUGGGACUGAGACACGGCCCAGACUCCUACGGGAGGCAGCAGUGGGGAAUUUUGGACAAUGGGGGCAACCCUGAUCCAGCAAUGCCGCGUGAGUGAAGAAGGCCUUCGGGUUGUAAAGCUCUUUUGUCAGGGAAGAAACACCGGCUCUAACACAGUCCGGGAAUGACGGUACCUGAAGAAUAAGCACCGGCUAACUACGUGCCAGCCGCCGCCGUAA
Molecule: ribosomal RNA, 501 nt
Filed under: uncultured bacterium
Lineage: Bacteria
Description: partial 16S ribosomal RNA
Rfam family: Bacterial small subunit ribosomal RNA
Source: RNAcentral